UACACAGGUAUUAUAGUAAGUACAGUGUAUGAGUACACUGGCCACCUCUGCCGUGGUGAAAUAUGUUCUGUCGUGUUCAGAGGUCUGCAUAUGAAAGGAUGUCGAGCUCCUUUCCGAGAAACUGUCAAAGAGAAGAUCUAAAAUCUCUGCCCCCUCCGCCUCCUCCUCCUCGUCCUCUCUUUCUCUUUUUCCCCCGCUAAUACGUUCCAUAUUGUGAGUUUAAAUGGGGUGGAUUCAGGAAAUGCAGUCACACUGCGUUGCCUUCCAAGCUUCCAGUCUGAGGUUUGGCGUGCAGCGCCAGCGGUUGAGUGCAGGCGGGCUGAUUGGGUGCUGUUCAUGUGGCCUUCCCUCCUCCUCCUUCUCCUCGACAUGUCCACGUUGCCGCUUCUCUUUCGCCUCGACUCUGUUGUGAGAGGGGAGCAGACAUGACUUGUUGGCGAAAGCAGCAUCUCAGAGAAGGUGGAAGAUGAGUGAGGAGGCUGCAGAGAAAGAGAAAAGCUGUCCAGUGACAACUCUGCUCCAGGGACAUGACGGUGCAUGCUCCACCAGAUGGUGCUGUUUUUCGAUCCAACGAGCAAGUCAAUUCUACCAACCCACCGACUUUGGAAGAACUUGAAGGGCGAAUACGAGAAGUUAUGAAGAGUUCCUACCUUGUGAAAUCAGUUAAUGCGGUUCCCAGGCGGCUUGAGAAACUGGUGGCUAAUGCUGGCGCCCAUAUUGAAUUUUAAAUAAAACUCCAUGCAAUACACUUUCUUCUCAUGUUCAUGUCUUGUAAGAAUUAUAGGGUACUUAAAGAUAGGGAUAUAUAUUAUAUAUAUAUAUAUAUAUCCAUCCAUUUUCUGAGCCGCUUCUCCUCACUAGGGUCGCGGGCGUGCUGGAGCCUAUCCCAGCUGUCAUCGGGCAGGAGGCGGGGUACACCCUGAACUGGUUGCCAGCCAAUCGCAGUAUAUAUAUAUAUAUAUAUAUAAAUUUUCUAAACCUAUACUUAAUAUCUCUCUCACUGAACUGUAUUUUGUUCUGUUUCAUUUCAGUGUGUUAUGUUCUAUUUAUGCUUUUGAUUGAUCUAUGUAAUUUAUUCUUUAUUAUUUUUAUCUACUUGAUAAAAGCACAAUUCAUGAUA
Long non-coding RNA from Phyllopteryx taeniolatus (common seadragon), 1120 nucleotides. RefSeq lists it as uncharacterized. Lineage: Eukaryota; Metazoa; Chordata; Actinopteri; Syngnathiformes; Syngnathidae. The transcript has 4 exons. The record is from RefSeq and is a predicted model, not a curated record.